Molecule: long non-coding RNA, 1130 nt
Organism: Zophobas morio
Lineage: Eukaryota; Metazoa; Arthropoda; Insecta; Coleoptera; Tenebrionidae
Exons: 3
Source: RefSeq, a predicted model, not a curated record
UUUAAAUGUAUCGUGACAUGGCGAAGAGCUUAAAACGUAACUUUCCUGUGUGAUUCUAGCCCUUAUGUCAGCGUGCACAAGUGCUCAUGUGAUGCGUGAGUUCUUUCUCGUUUUAUUUUUUCCGUAUGUUUGUUGUGAAAGUGUCUUCACAGCAUAUACGCUUCUUUUUUUUUGAAAAUGAAGCAACCACGGGUCUUUGUUAAAGAGGGCUUUAUAGUCUGGAGCAUAAUCGAGAAACGAGAAAGGAAUGCUUUAGGGCAACAGCUGAAAAAGGCAGGUGAUACCCAACUGUCUUGACAGAUGGUUCAACUCAGAUAUGAACCUUAAGCAAUAUCAUCCGCUAGCCAUUUUAAUAACUGAAAUAAUCACCACCACCAUAAUCAAAACGGAAGGAACCCACAACGUACAUACAAAAGAACACGUGUUUUCAAUUUGAGCAAAAAUCUUGCCAUGUUAUUUGAUACGAUUUUCGCUCCGGACAUUUUCGCCCUUAUCGACAAGUACAUAAGACUCACCCGUACAGGAAAGCAGCCCCGGCGAUCGCACCCCCACACUGGGCCACCACGAACAUCUUCGCCCUCAAGAAGGAGAUGUUCUUUGUGACACCUAGGGCGAUCGUCACCGCCGGAUUCACGUGCGCCCCUGAAAUAACACCCUUAUAAUAAUAGUAGUAAUAAUAGUGUCUUCAUUCAUCGUGGUGGUUACAAAAUUGCUCAUGAUAAUAAUUAAUAAUAAUAAUUAUAGUUAUAAUAACAGUGAUAAAGACGGUGAGAUGGUGGAGUUAACAAGAAGAGUCUAGCGAUAAUUAAGAAGUGAGUGUUAAGCUGAUUAGGCGCGACUCUGUUAAUUACCAGAUAUGUGUCCAAAGCACUGUGUCAACGAUAUCAUAGCGAAGCCAGCUGCUAGCGCUGUGGAAAGAAUAACCAGAGGAAUCGAAGGAACAGAGACUCCGACGACGGCACCUGCCGAUGCACCGCACACAAUAAAUACAUAUAUGAAGGAGGCUAUACACUCGGAGAUGACGGAUCUCCAGAAUCCUAGGUGUCGGGAACCACUUACACAACGUGUGAUGCCAAUGCGGCACUUCUGAAGAAACUUCUUUCGGCAUAAUACGACCACAUGAUUGCUUC